GCCUGAUCUUGUGUGAUUUACUUUGUACCAACACCCCAUGACCCAGAUGACUUGGCCAAGGUCAUCAGCCAAAGCCAGGCCUCUGGGUCUAACUACCGGCAGGCUGACAAGGCAUACAGGUCAGCGGGCAAAGCAACGGAGGGAGACCCCAUACGUUCUGCUUGACCUGUUGUCUUGCUCUUUGUCCCUUCUGGGAUUUUCUCAGCUCCCACCUCUGGGUGCCUGGUCCCUAAAGCCCCUCUCAAAUGACAAUGUGGCAUCCACCCUGGGACGAUGGCGUCUCCAUGGCAGGUCUUGAAGAGCAAGAACGCCUCGGAAGAGAGAAGAGCAGACGAUACAGCAGGGGCUUGGAUGAACAUUCCCACCCACCGCUUCCUGUCUCUCAGAGGCCUGGUCAUGCUGCAUGUCUUUGCAUUUAUUGAGAGAUUCUGGGGACUCCUUGAAGAAGAACAAGACCUUCCAGAAACUCUAUCUGUUUUAGCCUGGCAAACACAGCAAAGGAAUUUUCAGUCACUAUAAACAACCUCUUCUGUGGACCCCACCUGUCGUGAGCGCACACAACGCUAGGAAUGUGACUUGGGACAUUCUCAAGCAAGCUGUGGGGGACAUCUGUUGUUGUGUUGCCCACUUCCUGCUGCCCGAUUUAGCUCUGCAGGAAUUACCCACCCUGCUUUCAGCCAUGUGUUUUGCCUAAUGCUGACUGACCUCUGUGUUGGAUCUGGCUGUGAGUCACAGGGGCAAGGCCCAAGUCACCUGGGGGAAGUCCCUGUGUCUGGCCACAGUGGCUAGUUAGGGAAUGGCAGCAGGGCAUGAGCCAAAGCCUGCCCAGAAGCCCCCUGGGGUUUUCUUUGGUUCAUGUAAUGAUGGAGCUGUUGGUCCCUCUAGAUUUGAACGUGAGGAGUCAUAGGAUCUGGGCUGACUGAGAAGAGAGGUCAGAUCUGAGAAGAAGGCCCAUGGGUGACAGACCACAGCCCUGAGUCGAGAUAGAAGCAGGACUCUGAUGCUUUCUCUGACCUGCAGCUACGGCCGGAAGUUCAACCUAGUCUCCGACCGAUCCGUUUUUUUUAGAUAAUAAAUACCAUUGUUUGCUUA
This 1092-nucleotide long non-coding RNA is filed under the name Cricetulus griseus (Chinese hamster). RNAcentral's name for it is "lncRNA (ENSCGRG00015038604.1)". Lineage: Eukaryota; Metazoa; Chordata; Mammalia; Rodentia; Cricetidae. The record is from RNAcentral.